Molecule: long non-coding RNA, 1183 nt
Organism: Cucumis sativus (cucumber)
Lineage: Eukaryota; Viridiplantae; Streptophyta; Magnoliopsida; Cucurbitales; Cucurbitaceae
Exons: 2
Source: RefSeq, a predicted model, not a curated record
AGAGUCUGACGAUGGGAAGUUUAUCUUUCCAAGUAGAUAAGAUUGGCAUCUCAAGGAAAGUGUCCAUUCGUAAUUGACGUUGGCUUACGUGUUGAGUUUGGGUAGGAUGUGUAGUACGGUAAAAUGAGAAGGUGACACGUGUAAAGCGUGAAAAUGACCCAUGGACGUGAAAGAACACUAUAAACAGGACCAAAAAGAUCGAAAAAAGGAGUGUAAGAUAUUAUCAUUAUGAUAAUUCAUUGAAAGGGAGUUCCGAGAGUUGAACGACAAAGAGAGUUGAAAGUAAAGAGGAAGGAGUGGAGUCUCCAGUAUUUUUUUCUCUCCCCAGGUUGUUAGGCAUUGAAGUCAAGUAAGGAAUGAGAGUUAGGCGUAGAAGUCAAGUAAGUGAGAAGAAAGAGAAUGGUUGUGUAGACUUGUGUGGUGUGCAAGUCAUGUCAUCCUAUCUCGCGUUUAAGGAGUUGAUUGAAAAGUGCAUCGCUUCUUAACGUGGAUGGCUUCAGCUCAGACCAAGGAAAUUCGUUCAACACGUCACAUUUGUGGGGCCAAAAGAUGACGAGUGUGAAGGAACUGAACCAGAGAAAUGAAUCCCUAAAAAAUGUCCUUGAGUUGGGUUGUUGGUGAUUCAAGGAAAAGGAUGAAAUCAAAGGUCUUAUACUCCUGAAAACCUCUCCACAUAGAGCAAUGCUAGGCGGUGGACGAGAAAAGGUGGACCAAAGUCAACUUUAGUUUUAUGUUCCGCGAGAAAAAAGAAUGUAACUUGUAAUGCAUAAACCUUAUAAAGGUGUUAAAAUAGUAAAGCGAAGUAGUUAUGUACGGGGCGACAAAGCAAAGUUAAAAGUUAUAAAUUUCCGUUGCAAUAAGAAAGUCUAGAUUCGAGGCAAAGACUUUGCAAAAGAACAAGGUAAGUAAGAUGUUCCACUUAUUAGGCAUUCAACACGUCAUCUUGUGGAGAGCUGAGCGAUGAAUGUCUAGGCGACACGCUCUUAUAUGGCGAUACACUCUUAUCUGGUCGCAAAGAGUGAUACUUGGGACAGAGUGUGACAUCUAGGGUAUUGCCUUUGCCUUUUAGUAUUGCAAAACAUCAAGCCUUGUUCGUUGCUGUUCUAGGGUAUUUUGAUAAUUUUCUUUCUUGGAUUCCAAACGAUUCCAAACGAUGCAUUUAAAGCUCAAUUUUCACCUCCGA